RNAcentral lists this ribosomal RNA (329 nucleotides) under uncultured eukaryote. RNAcentral's name for it is "partial 18S ribosomal RNA". It matches the Rfam family "Eukaryotic small subunit ribosomal RNA", at positions 1470 to 1796 of the family's 1831-position model. The record is from RNAcentral.
CCCUUAGAUGUCCUGGGCCGCACGCGCGCUACACUGAGUGUCUGAGAUACGAGUCUACUUGGUCCGGCAAGGUCUAGGUAAUCGCUAAAAGACACAUCAUGCUUGGGAUAGAUUAUUGCAAAUAUUAAUCUUGAACGAGGAAUUCCUAGUAAGCGCAAGUCAACAGCUUGCGUUGAUUACGUCCCUGCCCUUUGUACACACCGCCCGUCGCUACUACUGAUUGGAUGUUUAAGCGAGGUUCUCGAACUGCUAGCGACUUAGCUUCGGUGAGGUCGCAGUGUGGGAAGUGAACCUAGCUUUGGUGUCUAGAGGAAGUAAAAGUCGUAACA